UGUGGGGGUGACGUGAGCGCAGU
Molecule: microRNA, 23 nt
Filed under: Macaca mulatta (Rhesus monkey)
Lineage: Eukaryota; Metazoa; Chordata; Mammalia; Primates; Cercopithecidae
Description: Mml-Novel-7_3p* (star (passenger))
Source: RNAcentral